This 125-nucleotide ribosomal RNA is filed under the name Hucho hucho (huchen). Lineage: Eukaryota; Metazoa; Chordata; Actinopteri; Salmoniformes; Salmonidae. The record is from RNAcentral.
GUUCAUCACAUUUCUGCCCUGGUCAACUGCAUCCCACCCACUGCUGGCUUGCUUCUGAAGCUAAGCAGGGUUGGUCCUGCUCAGUCCCUGGAUGGGAGACCAGAUGCUGCAGGAAGUGGUGUUUG